RNAcentral lists this long non-coding RNA (309 nucleotides) under Olea europaea (common olive). RNAcentral's name for it is "long non-coding RNA (OEUR_LNC010282)". Lineage: Eukaryota; Viridiplantae; Streptophyta; Magnoliopsida; Lamiales; Oleaceae. The record is from RNAcentral.
UGGCCAUUAACUGAGUCUUCCUUAUGCUGCUGGAGGAGCUCGGAUUCAUUCUCCUCCGUGUCCAAUGCCCACGCGCCCGGUUUCGCCCACGCGUUCACUGUUGCCGCCAUUGUCGUUCCUCUAUUUCUCCCAAUUCGUAUAUAUUUCUAAAUCUCUCUUCAGAGAUAGGUUUUAUGAAGCCAAAAGAAGGAAGUUACAAAAGACAACGGGGGAAAAAUUGACGGUUAGGAUUCCGUGUAGGAAUUUCUGUGAUCUGAUUGGAAAUAUUGAUGUACGGCUAAGAUGGAGUAUGUUUUCAUUGGAAAUUUG